GGACAAUCAAAGCAGUGUGUAUUGCUGUUAUCAGUUACAUACCUUGUGGGAACAUGGAGAUCAUUUUUCACUUCGGCCAAGGAUAAGUGCUCACUAACACAGAUUUCGACAGUAUGUCAAACCUCUGCGCUUCCUUCCCUCGUAAGUCCGUAGUCGUGACAAAUUGUCAAUAACAUAUGCGGUCAUUCAUCCUUUGUCGCUGAGAGAAUCAGUUCAGAUUGCCACCCCCAGUACAGGAACCACAUGGACAAGAGCCACUGGGACAGGAAACCGAUUACAACACCGGCGGAGCAAGCACACAGCCCACUGGCAAACUCCAGUGAAGAGAACAGCAGAUAAAUCCUGGUUCCUGACUCAGCAUGAAACAAACCAGAGGGUCACCACAGCCACCACCACCGUAACAACUACAGCUUAAGGGAUCUUCAAAUGUACCAGUAACAUCAUAAUGGACACAUAAUGUAGACCAUUACACUGGACUACACUCUGGAAUUGUUCAACCAUACAACUGUUGGACUUUUUUUUUUUAUUUAUUGGACAAAUCAUCAGAAACCCUGAUCUGACACCAUUUGCAGGCUCACUCUACCCUGGAAGGGGGUCCCUCUCUGUAUCACUCCUUCUGUUUCACAGGGUUUCUUCUUUUCUUUUUAUCUCUCGCCUACAGUUUUUUUUGUGUGAAGAUUUUCCUUGUGUGCAGAAGGGUCAAGUGUGGGG
Denticeps clupeoides (denticle herring) is the source of this 711-nucleotide long non-coding RNA. NCBI's taxonomy places the organism in Eukaryota, Metazoa, Chordata, Actinopteri, Clupeiformes, Denticipitidae. The record is from Ensembl.